Molecule: ribosomal RNA, 243 nt
Filed under: uncultured bacterium
Lineage: Bacteria
Description: partial 16S ribosomal RNA
Rfam family: Bacterial small subunit ribosomal RNA
Source: RNAcentral
GUAUCAUGGCUCAGGACGAACGCUGGCGGCGUGCCUAAUACAUGCAAGUCGAGCGAAGUUUUUUCUUGGUGCUUGCACUAGAAAAACUUAGCGGCGAACGGGUGAGUAACACGUAAAGAACCUGCCUCAUAGACGGGGACAACUAUUGGAAACGAUAGCUAAUACCGGAUAACAGCAUAAAUCGCAUGAUAUAUGUUUAAAAGUUUGGUUUCGGCUAACACUAUGAGAUGGCUUUGCGGUGCA